Molecule: unclassified non-coding RNA, 220 nt
Filed under: Hevea brasiliensis (rubber tree)
Lineage: Eukaryota; Viridiplantae; Streptophyta; Magnoliopsida; Malpighiales; Euphorbiaceae
Source: RNAcentral
GUUCUCCUUUUCAAUUUUCUGAGUGGAGUUGGGGCCAUUAGUUCUUAGAAGUGCAACUUAAAACACAAACAUAAUUUGUAUGUUACUGUAACUUGUCUGAUGUGAUAAUGUAUGUUGACUUGGUAUAUUAUUCGGAACAAGCAUAGGCUAGACUCCGUGCAUCGCUUAGAGAAUUACUCUUCAGCUUUGUGUGCACGGAGUCUAGCCUAUGCUUGUUCCG